This 400-nucleotide ribosomal RNA is filed under the name uncultured bacterium. RNAcentral's name for it is "bacterial SSU rRNA". It matches the Rfam family "Bacterial small subunit ribosomal RNA", at positions 32 to 409 of the family's 1533-position model. The record is from RNAcentral.
AAUCAACGCUGGCGGCGUGCCUCAGACAUGCAAGUCGAACGAGAAAGUUUCCUUCGGGGAAUGAGUAAAGUGGCGCACGGGUGAGUAACACGUAGGUAAUCUACCUUCGGGUGGGGAAUAACCCAGGGAAACUUGGGCUGACACCGCAUAAUGCAGCGGCACCACAUGGUGACAGUUGUUAAAGCGGGGGAUUUUAGGACCUCGCGCCUGAAGAGGAGCCUGCGGCGGAUUAGCUAGUUGGUAAGGUAACGGCUUACCAAGGCGACGAUCCGUAACCGGCCUGAGAGGGGCGGGUCGGUCACACUGACACUGACAUACGGGUCAGACUCCUACGGGAGGCAGCAGUCGGGAAUUUUGGGCAAUGGGCGAAAGCCUGACCCAGCAACGCCGCGUGAAGGAU